GUGCAGCUAAUUUCUUCGGCAAGACGGAGAUGCAUCUGCUCCGACCGACUAUGCAGACUCUCAGUUCUUCUGUAAUGAUCUCUCGCGCUCUUUCUCGUCGGCGAUUGUUGAAAUAUUGAGUUUGAAUGAAGCACCGAAGCUUUAAAAGUUACGAAUAAUCUUCAUAUCAGAGUAAUAUCCUCAAUUUUUUUUAAUGUAGUUCCAGAUACCGGCCUUGCAAGCUGCCUAGAGGAGUUUUAAUUGAUGCUCCACUAGCACUCUGGCAGCGCUUGAUGAAUUGUAAAUUGCUUUGAUUAAUGCCUCGACGUUAUUUAAUUACUAUUCGUAUUAUCAUUUUAUUGAUUCCUUAGCCUGCGUUACAUAAGUUACAUUUAAUGCAGUAGCUCGUGUAUAACAGUAGGCAUCUUUAUUGUUUUCCUGGGCAUGCGUAAUUUUUCUUACACGGUUAACUUCCUUCUUACCUAUACGGCAACGCAUGCAUAGAUUGUUGUACAAACGAUUCCUUAUAUUUUCUCCUUAAUCAGAUAAGCUAAGCUAAGGAUUUCCGCAAACAGCAAGUCUGCCAUCAUCCUCUCAAAAGCUGCAUUCAGCAGGCCGUACUUCAUCAUAUUAUUAUUUGUUUGAUGUAGUUAUCUCUGUUAUAUCCCUCUUUAAUUGAAAAUUCAUUCAAGUACUUUCCACUCGAGUCAGACUACCGUACCAUUGUUACGUGGAUUAAUUCAUUUCUGGUAUUUUAUGCAGAUGAACUUGUUUCUGGUAUUAAUGGCCCGGGGAGGAUUGUAAUAAGAUCUGCAUCAACACCUCUUAGGAAGAGUCAGUAGCUGUAUCCUAGGAUAUCUGUGAUAAUGAGAUAGGUUGCUAUCGUUGAAUCUGAAAGCGAAUGUCACUACCAGGAAGGCAAUUUCCCUACCUUCGACAUUAAGCAUGGCAUUUACUGGAAACGUUGUGGAUUGACUUUGGACUACGCUAUCAAUAAAAAAAAAGCCACACAUUAUUGAAGUGGGAAUACAAUCUUUUUGUAUUCCACUACUAUCAUAAAGAACCCAAGCUUGUUCGUCCACACACGCUACCUAUACGUGCAUGCUCAACCGUUUGUGACCCAACCGACUUAACUCUACACUAGGCCAACUCAUUCGGCUCGAUCUUGCCUCUACUCAAGGCCGAGGUCUUUCACUAUAAUGUCGCAUCUCAAAUUAUAUUGAUUUCCAGUUAACAUGUCCCACACAUCUUGACAUCAUCUCAAGUCGUGGGAUGUCAUUUGCCAUCGUAGCUUGCUCAGUCAUGCCCAUCAAGAAUGGGCCCAUGCGUUAUUCAUAAUAUCGAGAAAUCUCGAACAUCCAUCCAAAUUCUAUCGAGACAUUGGACCCUCUUAUAUCCAUGCUAUAUCAUUUACAAAUUCUGUACCGGAUAGCGGGUGUAUGGUCCAACCUUCGACACAUGGGUCGGGGCGCAAUGUUGGCACACCUGUGUCGUUCAACACUAUCCUUGAAAAAUCUAUUUCAAAGGAAGUCGUUCGAGACACUUGUUUUGCAACACUCCCUCUCACUGUGACACACGUAUGCCUCCCCUCAAGUUACAUUUUGAAGUAUUUUUGGUAUGACAGGUAUAUAUAUGAUUUUGGCGAACGAUUAUACAAUGUCAUGGAACUUUGUUCGAUGCUUGAUUGACACCAAAUUUGGUGAGCUUUCAUAUUUUAUAUGGACGGAUUUGACUGUAGAACCGCAUGUCUAAAUUAUCUCAAGAAUCCUUACUUUUGAGGUUAAGGCUCGAGGCUUUACGUGGCCUUUCAUCAAGCCUAUCUUUGACACACUUGUCUACAUUUGUCACCAUGUUGCUUAUGCCUCAUCUUCUCUUCAAUACUCACUUUAUAUGGUGUGUUGGAUGAUGCACCGUCCUCCUUGGUCGCAUCAUGGCACUCGUCUAUUUUGGCCGGAUGGGGGUGUCACUUGAGUGUCGCCGCUUUGCUUGUCUCAACGUGAGGGUCACAAUCUACUCUUUUCAUAGUAUGAUUGUGACACUCGACAUCAUUAGGAAAAAUUCCCUAGUUAGAGCUCAGUACAUAGACAUGUAUGGACUACGGUUAUCGUUGUAGAGCAAAGGAGCUCCCCCAGACUUAUGAGUACUCCCCUAGGGCUUUUCCAUGGAGCACGACUUGAGGCGCAAUUCGCGCAAGGUUGACAAAGGGCCUAGACAUACAUAAAACAUUCGAGCUAAGAGAAUUAGAAAUCCCUUUGAAGUUAUGAACCCUAGGUGGGUUAGAGUACUCAUUAGACAAGGUAUAUUCAGGGUUAGUUACGCAGAAACUUGCAAAGGUCAACAUAGACAUUAAAUCACAAUUUUGGUUAUCUCUAGGAGCAUGUAUAAGAAUAAGUUUGACAAGAACCUACAAGUAAACUACUUGCUAAGUAUUUUUAUACUCAUUCCAUGUUAUUCUAUUUUUUGAGAUUAAGCGUAGG
Cucurbita maxima (winter squash) is the source of this 2456-nucleotide long non-coding RNA. RefSeq lists it as uncharacterized. Lineage: Eukaryota; Viridiplantae; Streptophyta; Magnoliopsida; Cucurbitales; Cucurbitaceae. The transcript is spliced from 5 exons. The record is from RefSeq and is a predicted model, not a curated record.